UACGUAGGGGGCUAGCGUUGUCCGGAAUCAUUGGGCGUAAAGAGCGUGUAGGCGGCCCGGUAAGUCCGCUGUGAAAGUCGGGGGCUCAACCCUCGGAUGCCGGUGGAUACUGUCGGGCUCGAGUACGGAAGAGGCGAGUGGAAUUCCUGGUGUAGCGGUGAAAUGCGCAGAUAUCAGGAGGAACACCUAUUGCGAAGGCAGCUCGCUGGGACGUAACUGACGCUGAGACGCGAAAGCGUGGGGAGCAAACAGG
RNAcentral lists this ribosomal RNA (253 nucleotides) under uncultured bacterium. RNAcentral's name for it is "partial 16S ribosomal RNA". It matches the Rfam family "Bacterial small subunit ribosomal RNA", at positions 524 to 776 of the family's 1533-position model. The record is from RNAcentral.